ACACAUGCAGUCGAGCGGAACGAGUUAUCAGAACCUUCGGGGGACGAUAACGGCGUCGAGCGGCGGACGGGUGAGUAAUGCCUAGGAAAUUGCCCUGAUGUGGGGGAUAACCAUUGGAAACGAUGGCUAAUACCGCAUGAUGCCUACGGGCCAAAGAGGGGGACCUUCGGGCCUCUCGCGUCAGGAUAUGCCUAGGUGGGAUUAGCUAGUUGGUGAGGUAAGGGCUCACCAAGGCGACGAUCCCUAGCUGGUCUGAGAGGAUGAUCAGCCACACUGGAACUGAGACACGGUCCAGACUCCUACGGGAGGCAGCAGUGGGGAAUAUUGCACAAUGGGCGCAAGCCUGAUGCAGCCAUGCCGCGUGUGUGAAGAAGGCCUUCGGGUUGUAAAGCACUUUCAGUCGUAAGGGGGGUAAAGUGUAGUUAAUAGCUGCAUUAUUUGACGUUAGCGACAGAAGAAGCACCGGCUAACUCCGUGCCAGCAGCCGCGGUAAUACGGAGGGUGCGAGCGUUAAUCGGAAUUACUGGGCGUAAAGCGCAUGCAGGUGGUUUGUUAAGUCAGAUGUGAAAGCCCGGGGCUCAACCUCGGAAUUGCAUUUGAAACUGGCAGACUAGAGUACUGUAGAGGGGGGUAGAAUUUCAGGUGUAGCGGUGAAAUGCGUAGAGAUCUGAAGGAAUACCGGUGGCGAAGGCGGCCCCCUGGACAGAUACUGACACUCAGAUGCGAAAGCGUGGGGAGCAAACAGGAUUAGAUACCCUGGUAGUCCACGCCGUAAACGAUGUCUACUUGGAGGUUGUGGCCUUGAGCCGUGGCUUUCGGAGCUAACGCGUUAAGUAGACCGCCUGGGGAGUACGGUCGCAAGAUUAAAACUCAAAUGAAUUGACGGGGGCCCGCACAAGCGGUGGAGCAUGUGGUUUAAUUCGAUGCAACGCGAAGAACCUUACCUACUCUUGACAUCCAGAGAACUUUCCAGAGAUGGAUUGGUGCCUUCGGGAACUCUGAGACAGG
This 1008-nucleotide ribosomal RNA is filed under the name Vibrio natriegens. Its description in RNAcentral is "bacterial SSU rRNA". It matches the Rfam family "Bacterial small subunit ribosomal RNA", at positions 51 to 1038 of the family's 1533-position model. The record is from RNAcentral. Lineage: Bacteria; Pseudomonadati; Pseudomonadota; Gammaproteobacteria; Vibrionales; Vibrionaceae.